Molecule: ribosomal RNA, 305 nt
Filed under: uncultured bacterium
Lineage: Bacteria
Description: bacterial SSU rRNA
Rfam family: Bacterial small subunit ribosomal RNA
Source: RNAcentral
UCCUACGGGGCGCAGCAGUGAGGAAUAUUGGUCAAUGGUCGGGAGACUGAACCAGCCAAGCCGCGUGGGGGAUGAAGGUACAGAGUAUCGUAAACCUCUUUUGUCAGGGAACAAAGGCGGGGACGUGUCCCCGGAUGAGUGUACCUGAAGCAAAAGCAUCGGCUAACUCCGUGCCAGCAGCCGCGGUAAUACGGAGGAUGCGAGCGUUAUCCGGAUUUAUUGGGUUUAAAGGGUGCGCAGGCGGUCUGUUAAGUCAGCGGUCACAGCCCGGGGCUCAACCCCGGCCCGCCGUUGAAACUGGCAGG